UACAGAGGUGGCAAGCGUUGUUCGGAUUUAUUGGGCGUAAAGGGUUCGUAGGCGGACCGGAAAGUCAGAUGUGAAAUCCCACAGCUCAACUGUGGAACUGCAUUUGAAACUUCCGGACUAGAGUGUGAGAGGGGUAAAGGGAAUUCCCGGUGUAAGGGUGAAAUCUGCAGAGAUCGGGAGGAACACCAGUCGCGAAGGCGCUUUACUGGCUCACUACUGACGCUCAGGAACGAAAGCUAGGGUAGCAAACGGGAUUAGAUACCCCGGUAGUCCUAGCCGUAAACUAUGGUCACUAGGUGUUGGGAGGGUUAAACCUUUCAGUGCCGUCGCUCACGCAUUAAGUGACCCGCCUGGGGAGUACGGUCGCAAGGCUGAA
This 376-nucleotide ribosomal RNA is filed under the name uncultured bacterium. Its description in RNAcentral is "bacterial SSU rRNA". It matches the Rfam family "Bacterial small subunit ribosomal RNA", at positions 524 to 898 of the family's 1533-position model. The record is from RNAcentral.